This 27-nucleotide non-coding RNA is filed under the name Mus musculus (house mouse). Lineage: Eukaryota; Metazoa; Chordata; Mammalia; Rodentia; Muridae. The record is from RNAcentral.
UGCCUCAGGUUGUAAACUACUGUUUUA